UUUUAGGGAGACCUAAACCCCUCUAUACCGAAGAAAGUAAAUAGGUAAGAGAAAGGGUCAGACCUAGGUCGGUCGAGGAUUAGAAGCAGGCUUUCAAACUCAAGUUCGGUUCGGAGGUAUGGGCUAUUAGCUCAGGUGGUUAGAGCGCACCCCUGAUAAGGGUGAGGUCCCUGGUUCGAGUCCAGGAUGGCCCACCUAAACCCAAAAAACCCGGUAAAAGGGAAUUAAGUGGGGGUAUAGCUCAGUUGGUAGAGCGCUGCCUUUGCAAGGCAGAUGUCAGCGGUUCGAGUCCGCUUACCUCCAGUGGAGGAAAAACCAAGAGUCAGCAACUCAUAAAUAAUGAGACUGCUGGCUAACUUGCCAGCCAGAACCUUGAAAAGUACAUAGCAAUUAAGUCUAAAAAGUCUAGGGAAAAAGAUCAAACAGACAUCAAUC
RNAcentral lists this transfer RNA (435 nucleotides) under Coleofasciculus chthonoplastes KC1. RNAcentral describes it as "partial 16S-23S ribosomal RNA intergenic spacer". The stretch from base 231 to 303 matches the Rfam family "tRNA". Lineage: Bacteria; Bacillati; Cyanobacteriota; Cyanophyceae; Coleofasciculales; Coleofasciculaceae. The record is from RNAcentral.